RNAcentral lists this ribosomal RNA (253 nucleotides) under uncultured bacterium. RNAcentral describes it as "partial 16S ribosomal RNA". It matches the Rfam family "Bacterial small subunit ribosomal RNA", at positions 524 to 776 of the family's 1533-position model. The record is from RNAcentral.
UACAGAGGUCUCAAGCGUUGUUCGGAUUCAUUGGGCGUAAAGGGUGCGUAGGCGGCGCGGUAAGUCGGGUGUGAAAUUUCGGAGCUUAACUCCGAAACUGCAUUCGAUACUGCGGUGCUCGAGGACUGGAGAGGAGACUGGAAUUCAUGGUGUAGCAGUGAGAUGCGUAGAGAUCAUGAGGAAGACCAGUGGCGAAGGCGGGUCUCUGGACAGUUCCUGACACUGAGGCACGAAGGCCAGGGGAGCAAACAGG